This is a non-coding RNA of Acanthosepion pharaonis, 112 nucleotides long. Lineage: Eukaryota; Metazoa; Mollusca; Cephalopoda; Sepiida; Sepiidae. The record is from the annotation of a GenBank genome assembly.
UAUGGCCACAACACGUUGAAGCAUCGGUUCCCGUACGAUCACCGAAGUUAAGCAACGUCGAGUCUGGUCAUAACCUAGAUGGGUGACCACUUGGGAAAAUCAGGCGUUGUAA